UGGGGAAUUUUGGACAAUGGGGGAAACCCUGAUCCAGCCAUUCCGCGUGAGUGAAGAAGGCCUUCGGGUUGUAAAGCUCUUUCGGCAGGAACGAAAAGGUCAAGGUAAAUAAUCUUGAUUCAUGACGGUACCUGAAGAAGAAGCACCGGCUAACUACGUGCCAGCAGCCGCGGUAAUACGUAGGGUGCGAGCGUUAAUCGGAAUUACUGGGCGUAAAGGGUGCGCAGGUGGUUAUUUAAGACAGAUGUGAAAUCCCCGGGCUCAACCUGGGAACUGCGUUUGUGACUGAAUAGCUAGAGUGCGGCAGAGGGGGGUAGAAUUCCACGUGUAGCAGUGAAAUGCGUAGAGAUGUGGAGGAAUACCGAUGGCGAAGGCAGCCCCCUGGGUCAGCACUGACGCUCAUGCACGAAAGCGUGGGGAGCAAACAGG
This 429-nucleotide ribosomal RNA is filed under the name uncultured bacterium. RNAcentral's name for it is "bacterial SSU rRNA". It matches the Rfam family "Bacterial small subunit ribosomal RNA", at positions 355 to 776 of the family's 1533-position model. The record is from RNAcentral.